GACGAACGCUCGCGGCGUGCUUAACACAUGCAAGUCGAACGGUAAGGCCCUUCGGGGUACACGAGUGGCGAACGGGUGAGUAACACGUGGGUGAUCUGCCCUGCACUUCGGGAUAAGCCUGGGAAACUGGGUCUAAUACCGGAUAGGACUCCUGGCUUCAUGGUUGGGGGUGGAAAGCUUUUGCGGUGUGGGAUGGGCCCGCGGCCGAUCAGCUUGUUGGUGGGGUAAUGGCCUACCAAGGCGACGACGGGUAGCCGGCCUGCGAGGGUGACCGGUCACACUGGGACUGGGAUACGGCCCAGACGCCUACGGGAGGCAGCAGUGGGGAAUAUUGCACAAUGGGCGCAAGCCUGAUGCAGCGACGCCGCGUGAGGGAUGACGGCCUUCGGGUUGUAAACCUCUUUCAGCUAUGACGAAGCGCAAGUGACGGUAGUAGCAGAAGAAGGACCGGCCAACUACGUGCAGCCGCCGCCGUAA
This 477-nucleotide ribosomal RNA is filed under the name uncultured bacterium. RNAcentral's name for it is "partial 16S ribosomal RNA". It matches the Rfam family "Bacterial small subunit ribosomal RNA", at positions 28 to 523 of the family's 1533-position model. The record is from RNAcentral.